GACGAACGCUGGCGGCGUGCUUAACACAUGCAAGUCGAACGGAAAGGCCCUGCUUUUGUGGGGUGCUCGAGUGGCGAACGGGUGAGUAACACGUGAGUAACCUGCCCUUGACUUUGGGAUAACUUCAGGAAACUGGGGCUAAUACCGGAUAGGAGCUCCUGCUGCAUGGUGGGGGUUGGAAAGUUUCGGCGGUUGGGGAUGGACUCGCGGCUUAUCAGCUUGUUGGUGGGGUAGUGGCUUACCAAGGCUUUGACGGGUAGGCGGCCUGAGAGGGUGACCGGCCACAUUGGGACUGAGAUACGGCCCAGACUCCUACGGGAGGCAGCAGUGGGGAAUCUUGCACAAUGGGCGGAAGCCUGAUGCAGCAACGCCGCGUGCGGGAUGACGGCCUUCGGGUUGUAAACCGCUUUCGCCUGUGACGAAGCGUGAGUGACGGUAAUGGGUAAAGAAGCACCGGCUAACUACGUG
RNAcentral lists this ribosomal RNA (468 nucleotides) under uncultured bacterium. RNAcentral describes it as "partial 16S ribosomal RNA". It matches the Rfam family "Bacterial small subunit ribosomal RNA", at positions 28 to 507 of the family's 1533-position model. The record is from RNAcentral.